GAGUGUGUAGUUCAGUGGUAGAACGCUGUCCUGAUAAGACAGAGGUCGAUGGUCCGAUUCCAUCCACACUCACCA
Molecule: transfer RNA, 75 nt
Filed under: bacterium
Lineage: Bacteria
Also listed under: 2 other names
Description: tRNA-Ile
Rfam family: tRNA
About the family: Transfer RNA (tRNA) molecules are approximately 80 nucleotides in length.
Source: RNAcentral